Molecule: long non-coding RNA, 463 nt
Organism: Bos taurus (domestic cattle)
Lineage: Eukaryota; Metazoa; Chordata; Mammalia; Artiodactyla; Bovidae
Source: Ensembl
GUGCGAGGGAGAGGGCACAGUUCUCCAAGGGAUUUGCAGACUCGAGCUACAAUUCACAUUUUUUCCUCUGUUGCUGUUCAGUCGCUCAGUCAUGUCUGACUUUGAGACCCCAUGGAUUGCAGCACGUCAGGCUUCUCUGUCCUUCACCAUCUCCUGGAGUUUGUUCAAACUCAUGUCCAUUGAUUACACAUCAGAAAGAAGGCCACAGAGACACGGAAUUGCCAGACUCAAUUACUGUGUUACUGACACCAGCCUGUGACUGUCUUUGAAAUAAUGCAAGAGGAAGAAAUCAAGAUGCUAUCAUCUUUGUUCCUUGUCACUGAUUCCUGACAGCCAGCCCUUGCCUUAUGUAAGCCCCUAGACUCCUCAUGGAGGGGUCAGUUCUUGAGGCCUGAGCCUACGCUGUUCCCCUCUCCACCCGCUGAGGACUAAAGCCACCUUUCUAUUUCCUCCAAACUCUCCG